AGAAGAUAUGAUUGGCUGGCAACUCAAUAGCCAUUAUCAAGAAUCUUUCCUGGUCUGGGCUCCCUUUUUUGGGUCACCUCAUCUGCAACAGACUAUGAGACAGCUGCCUGUUACUCAGUCUCAAAAGGAGCACAGCAUGGACGCACAGCAGGAGAAGUUACCUGCUUCUGAGUGAUGUAACACGACACCCAGCGUAUCCUGCUUUUGAAAGGAAACUUCGAUGGUGGUUGGCAAAUUACCAUUCACAGCUCUGGCUGAUGGAGUCACCGGAGAGGCGAGAGAGCCGCCGCCGCACCUGGUGUCUGUAAUUACAGGCUUUCACCGGAGGAAAGAAGGGAUGAAGCGGCCAAAUACAGCUGAGCGCAGAGACAGGGAGGGGUUGCCCAGGGCUGGACAGGAAAAGCCAGCAGCCGAGGAUGCUGUUCCGCUCCGCGCCGCGCCCCGCCGCCCCGCCCCACUCUGUACCCUCAUCUCCUUACUUGGGGCUUGUCUGUUUCCUUUUCUUUCUGUUUUUCCUCAUCUCAGAACUCUUUGUCCGACUUCCCGCAGCAGCGUGCUGUAAGGAAGAAAUCAAAGCUCUUGAGGCACCCACAUCUUUGUGUCAAGCAACCUGUGUUUUGCUCCAGAGGCGCCCUCUCUGAUGUUAUGUCUAAGAACUUACCAGAACACUCAAGAAUUCACUUCAGAGACAAUGCCGAUGGGACUCAAACAAAAUAAAACAGGCCACGCUGUUCACUGUUUCCCAAGCCUGGCCUUUCAGUUACCCCUGGUAAUUUUUCAAGUGGUAUGAGAACAUUUUGUACCUGGAAAAUAAUCUUGUGUCUUGCACGGGAACUGUAGCUGGCUGGCUUUCUCUUCUCCCCUGCAUUCCCUUCCUCUCUUCCCC
This 886-nucleotide long non-coding RNA is filed under the name Mus musculus (house mouse). Its description in RNAcentral is "predicted gene, 33785". Lineage: Eukaryota; Metazoa; Chordata; Mammalia; Rodentia; Muridae. The record is from RNAcentral.